UUAUAAGGGAAUAAAGUGAGUCUCGUGAGACUUUUUGCAUGUACCUUAUGAAUAAGGACCGGCUAAUUCCGUGCCAGCAGCCGCGGUAAUACGGAAGGUCCGGGCGUUAUCCGGAUUUAUUGGGUUUAAAGGGAGCGUAGGCCGGAGAUUAAGCGUGUUGUGAAAUGUAGAUGCUCAACAUCUGCACUGCAGCGCGAACUGGUUUCCUUGAGUACGCACAAAGUGGGCGGAAUUCGUGGUGUAGCGGUGAAAUGCUUAGAUAUCACGAAGAACUCCGAUUGCGAAGGCAGCUCACUGGAGCGCAACUGACGCUGAAGCUCGAAAGUGCGGGUAUCGAACAGGAUUAGAUACCCUGGUAGUCCGCACGGUAAACGAUGGAUGCCCGCUGUUGGUCUGAAUAGGUCAGCGGCCAAGCGAAAGCAUUAAGCAUCCCACCUGGGGAGUACGCCGGCAACGGUGCAACUCAAAGGAAUUGACGG
This 479-nucleotide ribosomal RNA is filed under the name uncultured Bacteroidota bacterium. Its description in RNAcentral is "bacterial SSU rRNA". It matches the Rfam family "Bacterial small subunit ribosomal RNA", at positions 434 to 916 of the family's 1533-position model. Lineage: Bacteria; Pseudomonadati; Bacteroidota. The record is from RNAcentral.